AACCGAUACCCGAAAUGCACAGGCCUAAGCAAGAUGUUAAAAUCUCUGAAAAGGAACAAAAUACAAUUACAAAUCGCUUAAAUGAAUAUCCUAAAAAUCAAAAAACCAGAGAUUACGAGAAGUGGUUACGAUUUUUAUGGCUUUAACUUUUCUUUACUCACGAUGAUGAAUUCUGUUUCUUCUUUUUCUUUUCCAAACAAUUCUGUUUCUUCUUAUGCAGGAAUUUAAAGAAACUUCAGGUAUGCAUCAGAUAAAUCUGACGAGAUGUUUCUGAAAAAGAUCGAGAACGUAUGGAGAUAUAAGAAGAGACGAUGGUGACUCAUAAUCUAAAGGAAAAGUAGAAGUGUCAAGAAAUCAAGGUUGAAGGAGAAUGUUUUGAUGAAGAUUGAUGAUGAAAAGAGAGAGAUGGAGAACGAGAAGAAAAUGAAUACGAAUCUUGAAGAAAUUCUCAUGGCUAAUUCUUUUUAACUUUUUUUUUUUAAUAAUUCUUUUGAUCUCUCAGUUCAUCUUCUUCCGUCUUCUUCCUCUUACUUUGUUUUAAGUCUCUUUAAAUUUUGUAAUUUCUCUUUCAUCGUCACAUGUAAUAUAAUGUAAAAAUAUUUUAUUUAGUUUAUCUAUUUAACAUCAAUUU
Long non-coding RNA from Brassica napus (rape), 631 nucleotides. RefSeq lists it as uncharacterized. The transcript is spliced from 2 exons. The record is from RefSeq and is a predicted model, not a curated record. NCBI's taxonomy places the organism in Eukaryota, Viridiplantae, Streptophyta, Magnoliopsida, Brassicales, Brassicaceae.